Molecule: small nuclear RNA, 163 nt
Organism: Tupaia belangeri (northern tree shrew)
Lineage: Eukaryota; Metazoa; Chordata; Mammalia; Scandentia; Tupaiidae
Gene: U1
Rfam family: U1 spliceosomal RNA
About the family: U1 is a small nuclear RNA (snRNA) component of the spliceosome (involved in pre-mRNA splicing). Its 5' end forms complementary base pairs with the 5' splice junction, thus defining the 5' donor site of an intron. There are significant differences in sequence and secondary structure between metazoan and yeast U1 snRNAs, the latter being much longer (568 nucleotides as compared to 164 nucleotides in human).
Source: Ensembl
ACACUUACCUGGCAGAGGAGAUACCAUGAUCACGAAGGUGGUUUUCUGAGAGCAAGGCUUAUCCAUUGCACUCCGGAUGUGCUGACCCCUGUGAUUUCCUAAAUGUGGGAAUCUUGACUGCAUAAUUUAUGGUAAUGGGGGACUGCUUUCAUGCUUUCCCUUG